This 62-nucleotide transfer RNA is filed under the name Meccus pallidipennis. RNAcentral describes it as "tRNA-Arg". Lineage: Eukaryota; Metazoa; Arthropoda; Insecta; Hemiptera; Reduviidae. The record is from RNAcentral.
AGUAGUGAAGUAAAAAUUACACUUAGCUUCGACCUAAGAUUAGAGAAUAAUUCUCCUUACUU